This 448-nucleotide ribosomal RNA is filed under the name uncultured bacterium. Its description in RNAcentral is "SSU rRNA". It matches the Rfam family "Bacterial small subunit ribosomal RNA", at positions 26 to 518 of the family's 1533-position model. The record is from RNAcentral.
AGAGCGAACGCUGGCGGCAGGCUUAACACAUGCAAGUCGAACGCUCGUAGCAAUACGGGAGUGGCAGACGGGUGAGUAACGCGUGGGAACAUACCCUCCGGUUCGGAAUAGCUCAGGGAAACUUGGAUUAAUACCGGAUACGGCUGUGAGGCGAAAGAUUUAUCGCCGGAGGAUUGGCCCGCGUUCGAUUAGCUUGUUGGUGAGGUAACGGCUCACCAAGGCGAUGAUCGAUAGCUGGUCUGAGAGGAUGAUCAGCCACAUUGGGACUGAGACACGGCCCAAACUCCUACGGGAGGCAGCAGUGGGGAAUAUUGGACAAUGGGCGCAAGCCUGAUCCAGCCAUGCCGCGUGAGUGAUGACGGCCUUAGGGUUGUAAAGCUCUUUCGCUCGGGACGAUAAUGACGGUACCGAGAUAAGAAGCCCCGGCUAACUUCGUGCCAGCAGCCGC